This 3983-nucleotide long non-coding RNA is filed under the name Mus musculus (house mouse). RNAcentral's name for it is "long non-coding RNA chr10:108179805-108183788". Lineage: Eukaryota; Metazoa; Chordata; Mammalia; Rodentia; Muridae. The record is from RNAcentral.
GGCCUGCGACGUUCUUUUUCGAUGCGUAUAUCAGGAAGUAUGUGAGCUUUAGCAAAAGCUCCUGUCUGACUUGGUUUCCAAUGCAUGGGCUUAUACACCUGCUCUUCUGUUUGCUCUCAUGGUCUGUCAGGUUUUCCAUUACUAAAAGCUUGUUUGUUUUUUUGGAUACUCUGACUCCAAGUUUAGAACUUCUACAUUUUACGUGACUGGGGAUGACAGGGAGAUGAAAACAAAAUCCAGCAAGAAAAGCAGUUCUGAGUUGCAGCAAAAAAUAAAAAAAUUUUAAAAUUCACUAAGUUUUUUUUCUAUUAUUAACUGUUCUUUUCCUAUUUUGGAAUAAAGUGGAACUAAAGCCUAAACUAGAUAAGGUAGUGAUUAAAGAUGCUUAUAGCAGUACAAGUAAUAUGCUCUUCAAAGAUAGGAAAUAAUUAAUUAUGUAGCUUUAGCUGUUACUUGCUGGAAAUAGAAAUGAAUUUUCAGGAAAGGCAAUUUUUUUAAUCACUCUGAAGAGAUAUUGUUUGGAGGAAGCCUUUUAUUGGAAAAACCAAUCAUGUGUUAGUAUUGUAACUAUUGUAAAAGCUAUUCAGAUUGUUUCAUCUUUAUUUUCUAUUUAUGAGCAUUUUGCUUACAUGUAUGUCUGUGCAGCAUGUGAGCAUCUGGUGCCUGCAGAUGCAGGAGAACUGGAGUGACAGGCGCUUGGGAGCUACCAUGUGUGAGCUGCCACGUGUGAGCUGCCAUGUGUGAGCUGCCAUGUGUGAGCUGCCAUGUGGUGCUGGGAAUCAAACCCAGCCUUCUGGAAGAACAGCUAGUGCUCUUAACCAGUGAGCAUUUCUCCAGCCCUUUGGACAUGUUUUUAUAAAAAAUAUUCUGUUCUUUCAGAAAUUUACUGUAGCCAGUAGUAGUCUGGUUUCCUUUUAGGUUCGCUCCAUUAGAAAUGCUGUGAAAGUUGUAUCAAGCCAUACAACUCUAAGUUAUAUUAGUCUUCCAGUAUUUAAAGAAUACAUACUUGUACAUACAGUAAUAAAAUGAAAUGAAGUGUAUCCUUAGUAGGAGUACGUCAUGGAGGAGGUGUGCUUAUGCUCUCAAGCAAGUGCUUUAUUUAUCAAUGCCUUUAUCUUCUCUAAACAAAACAAUAUAUGAUUUAAUUUUUGUUUUAAUUUCGUGUGUGCACAUGCACACAGACACACGCAUGGAGACACACACACAUGCGCGUGCACACACAGCACAUCAGAUAAGCCUAUGGAUACCACACGAGAAUGUUGGAUAGGCUGUGGCUAGAGUUCCAGUCAGUUAUGAGCCCACCUGACAUGAGUAUGGGGACUGAACUCAGGUCCUCUGGAAGGGAACAAGCAUUCUUUUCCACUGAGCCAUCUCUCCAGCCCCUGAUUUGAUGUUAGUGUUGGCUAAAAGCCUCUGGACAUCUAAAUUCCCCUCUUGCCCCCAACUUUGAAGAUAGCUCUAAAGUUCAAUAUUAUUUUUUAGUUAUGUUACUGUUGAAAAAAAUUAUUCUAAAAUUAAGGAAAGGAUUGGCCUGAUGUUAAUGAUCAAGGUAAUUUUUUAAACUUUUUAAAAUUAGAUCUUAAAUUUUUUACAUAUGUGUAAAAAUAUCUUAUUUUAUAUAGCAUACAUACAUACAUACAUACAUGUGAGUGUUUUUCCUAUGUGUAUGUAUGUGUACCAUGUGCAUGCCUGGUACUUGUGGAGGUCAGAAGAAGCCUCAGAUGCUCUGGAACUGGAGACAGAUCUUUGUGCGACUCCAUGUUGGUGCUGGAUAAGAAUGAGUGCUCUUAACUGCUGAGCAGCCUCUCCAGUCCCCAGUUGGGAGUCAUUUUACCAAAAGACAUUUUAAUUUUCCUUUGUAUAUAUUUCUGGCAGGGACUUUUUUGUAGGUAACAGUCAUACAUCUCCAUCCCUUCUUGGUCUGGCUGCUCACGUGCACAGAUGUGCAGAUAGAUAGCCAGAUGAGUAGAGAGACUACGAAGUUUUAGUAGGCAGGCAGCCCUGUACUGUGGCAUAUAAUAUCUAUGAUGUUUAAGCCUAUUUUGUAUGGCCUUGCUCAUUAUUUAGAAAUACUCACAUUCUGUUAAAAUUCAGAGUAUACUCACCCGGAAGCCAUGUCCCUAAGGUGAAUCAUUAGAGGUUGUGCAGAUUCCGUCUGAAAACCAUUUCUGAAUCAUGGGCAGGGACCUAAUUCUCUUAUCUACGAUAGAUUUGUGAACAUUAUGCUUGGGCCUUUGAAAACUGGGCUUGUAAGACUAUUAUUCAGGAUUUAAAUACACUGCCAUCUGCUGACAGUGCAUUUUUGAAAUUGUGUAUGUUUACUCAAAUUGUAGUAAGCACUUAGAGUCAUCAAUAACCAAAACAGACAAAAAUCCUGGACAUCUUGUGUACACAUAUAUUCUGUUUCCUCAUGCCUUUAUAAUAUAGAUAGAUAGAUAGAUAGAUAGAUAGAUAGAUAGGUAUGACAUGGCACCAUUGUGAAAAAUCAGAAUGGGGAAAGGGAUCAAAAAAGAAUAAGAUAAAAUUACUAGGUAGUUGCUAAACCUUUAUCAUCUGUAGCCUUAGUUCAUAGAUAUUUCUUAUGGGAAACCCUACCCCCAGCUUACUCAGAAAGAGUAAAAACAUUUUGCUAAAUAUUUCAGUUCAACUGACAGUUUGCUUGAUUUACAAAACUCUCUGCUGUAAAUGGUGGAAGGAAUGGCUAAUGUGGUCUGUGCAUAAGCAACAGCACACAGAGAGGCCUGAGAGGUGUACCACACACAGUGCCCACCUGCUGUGUCCACCGGAAGAGUAUAACCUAGUCAGAAAGGCGAACGUGACCAACCUCUGUCAGACAUUGGUGAGUGGAGGGCUGGAAGAGCUCUGCGGAUGAAGUUGUAAAUUGGUACAGUGACUUUAGGAAAAUGUUAGGGAGUUUCUUAUGAGAGUCAAUGUACAUACACUGUGCAGAAUUCAAGUUUUUAUAUUUACCCAAGAGAACAAGACAAUAGGCUUAUUUUAGGGAUUUAUUCUUCUUAUUUUCUGUGUGUGUUUUGUGUGCCUGGUGCCAGUGGAAUGCAGAGGAGGACAUCACCUACCACCUACUCAUAAACAUGAACAUUCAGAGGCAUUCUUCAGACAUCUUUUUCUCCUAAUUUCCACUUCAAAGUGUUUGUUUUACUAAUUGAGGUUUGGGGAAGGAAAAUAUAUGAACACAGUUGGUCAGGUGGGCAAAUAAAUGACCAUUUAAGAUCUAUGCAUUUGCUUUUGUUAGGGAAUAUUGAAGAAUACAUUUACUGUGAUAGACAAAGAAGGCCAAGGGUGGCUUUAGUUAAAAAUGUCAAGUUUGUAGUGAGGAGGGCUGGUUCUUAGAAUGAUACCACCAGCUGACCCCUUUACAGGUAAAGUGAUAACAUGGUUAAUUUUCAUUUGUAUUUUGCUUAAAGCAUGUGUACUAAGUUUAUGUUAGCAUUAUUCAAAUAAUAUAAUUUCAGCCAAUUUUAAAGAGGUUUUUUUCAGAGAUCCCUAUUUUAUUCAUAAUUGAAAAAUAUCUGUUGUGGAGACUAAAUUUGGGGUUCUUUAGCAUGGUUUAUAAAGUGAAUUACAACUUCCCUCUUGCCUUCUCCUAUAUAUUAAUUUACUUCUUUCUAGUAAUUUGCUAUUUUUUCAACUCAUGGCCAUUUGACAAUAUUAAGUGUUCAGUACCUGACAUACUGCUAUUUUCCUCCCCCUUUAAGGAGUUCUUUUUUUAACCUUUGCUAUUUUAUUUUUUAAGCUUUAAAUUGUAUUUCCUAGAUGUCCCAUUACUGCUUAAACUGUUGCCAGUUUUCUAAACUCCUGCUAAGAAAUGUGGCAGUUGCCAUAUUAAAGAAGGCUUAUCCUCCUUCCUGUUUAUAACAUCAUUUACAAUUUGUCUUUGUAGGUCAGUCAUAGAGUGCCUAAGGAAAUGGUUAACGGCCAAUAAUUAUUGAAAAGUUACACACGAUAGAGCAGUGUGGUAAAGU